Molecule: ribosomal RNA, 408 nt
Filed under: uncultured bacterium
Lineage: Bacteria
Description: partial 16S ribosomal RNA
Rfam family: Bacterial small subunit ribosomal RNA
Source: RNAcentral
GACGAACGCUGGCGGCGUGCUUAACACAUGCAAGUCGAACGAAGUGGCGAACGGGUGAGUAAUACGUGGGUAACCUGCCCUCCUGUUUGGGAUAAGCCUUGGAAACGGGGACUAAUACAGAAUAAAGGGGGAUGGGCGCGCGGCCGAUCAGCGUGGUGGUGGUGUGAUGGCCUACCAAGGCGGUGACGGGUAGCCGGCCUGAGGGGGUGCCCGGCCACAUUGGGACUGAGAGCCGGCCCAGACUCCUACGGGAGGCAGCAGUGGGGGGUAUUGCACAAUGGGCGAAAGCCUGAUGCAGCGACUCCGCGUGGGGUAUGAAGGCUUUCGGGUUUUAAACCUCUUUCGCUAUCCAACGGGUAGGUGGAGAAGAAGCGCCGGCUAACUACGUGCCAGCCGCCGCGGUAAUAC